This 468-nucleotide ribosomal RNA is filed under the name uncultured bacterium. Its description in RNAcentral is "partial 16S ribosomal RNA". It matches the Rfam family "Bacterial small subunit ribosomal RNA", at positions 28 to 507 of the family's 1533-position model. The record is from RNAcentral.
GACGAACGCUGGCGGCGUGCUUAACACAUGCAAGUCGAACGGAAAGGCCCUGCUUUUGUGGGGUGCUCGAUUGGCGAACGGGUGAGUAACACGUGAGUAUCCUGCCCUUGACUUUGGGAUAACUUCAGGAAACUGGGGCUAAUACCGGAUAGGAGCUCCUGCUGCAUGGUGGGGGUUGGAAAGUUUCGGCGGUGGGGGAUGGUCUCGCGGCUUAUCAGCUUGUUGGUGGGGUAGUGGCUUACCAAGGCUUUGACGGGUAGCCGGCCUGAGAGGGUGACCGGCCACAUUGGGACUGAGAUACGGCCCAGACUCCUACGGGAGGCAGCAGUGGGGAAUAUUGCACAAUGGGCGGAAGCCUGAUGCAGCGACGCCGCGUGCGGGAUGACGGCUUUCGGGUGGUAAACCGCUUUCGCCUGUGACGAAGCGUGAGUGACGGUAAUGGGUAAAGAAGCACCGGCUAACUACGUG